RNAcentral lists this transfer RNA (76 nucleotides) under Chloroflexota bacterium. RNAcentral's name for it is "tRNA-Arg". It matches the Rfam family "tRNA". From Rfam's summary of the family: Transfer RNA (tRNA) molecules are approximately 80 nucleotides in length. Their secondary structure includes four short double-helical elements and three loops (D, anti-codon, and T loops). RNAcentral also lists the same sequence under 2 other names. The record is from RNAcentral. Lineage: Bacteria; Bacillati; Chloroflexota.
GCGCCCGUAGCUCAGCGGAUAGAGCAUUGGUCUUCGGAACCAAGUGUCGGGGGUUCGAAUCCCUCCGGGCGUGCCA